GACAGAGCGGGGUGCGGAGAGGGGCUUCGGCUGGUUUUUGAGGCUGCCCAGUGGGGAGGAGGCAGGCAGAGCGGCUUCAGAUCUGCUCUCCGGUCUCCUGUGGGUGGUGGUUAGAGCCGCGGGGUUUCAGCGUUCCCAAAGCUGCCGGGGAAGCGCCCCGUGAAGCCGCAGGAGCCCUGGCACAGGCCUGAGCCGCCCCAGCCCGGCGCGGCCUUCCCCCUCAGCUCCCGGCGCUCCCGCCCGAGCCCUUCGGGCCGAAAGGGCUCCUGAGGGGACAGCCCAGGGUGGGAACCCGAGCACGGGAGAGCUCCAGCGCCGCUCUAGCAGAGACAGCCACAUCAAGAGUUAACCCGAAAGUGAAACUGAACGAGCGGUUUCAGAAAAUUCUGGAAUAUCUGGUGAUCCACCCCUCCCCUCCCGGUCGGGAUAUAUUCGGCCGUUUCCCUUCCUUCCUCCCAGCACAACAGACACAACAGAGGCUGGUGGCGAGGGGAGCCGCGGUCCCACGGUACUGGGAUUAGAGCAGACUCAUCGCAGCUCUUACUCCCAGCCAGCCGACCAUGGCCGUGGCAAGUGGUGCACCAGUAGCCAUAGCUGCAGCAGGGGUUAGCAAGACCAAGGCUGCUGCCUUCAUUUUCACAGUCGGGGCAGCAUCAAUGGCCUGACUCUGCCCUCUGAGCAGCAGCUGAUUGCAUCCUGGCACAGAAACAGCUCCCUAUGUUCAAUGCAAGGGAGCAAAAGCAAGAUUCCUUCCUUCCAAGCACAUGGAUUCAUCUUCAAAUGGCCAGCGCUGGAAAGUCCAAUCCCUCCCACAGCUUCUGCUAUAAAUGAUUUGGCAUUAAGCAAUAAAUAAGCAAUAAAUGAA
Long non-coding RNA from Pyrgilauda ruficollis (rufous-necked snowfinch), 865 nucleotides. RefSeq lists it as uncharacterized. The record is from RefSeq and is a predicted model, not a curated record. NCBI's taxonomy places the organism in Eukaryota, Metazoa, Chordata, Aves, Passeriformes, Passeridae. The transcript has 4 exons.